RNAcentral lists this ribosomal RNA (484 nucleotides) under uncultured bacterium. Its description in RNAcentral is "bacterial SSU rRNA". It matches the Rfam family "Bacterial small subunit ribosomal RNA", at positions 28 to 507 of the family's 1533-position model. The record is from RNAcentral.
GAUGAACGCUAGCGGCAGGCCUAACACAUGCAAGUCGAGGGGCAUCGCGGUGCAGCAAUGCACUGGCAGCGACCGGCGUACGGGUGCGUAACGCGUAUGCAACCUGCCCCGCACCGGGGGAUAGCCCGCCGAAAGGCGGAUUAAUACCCCAUGGUCCCGGGGGCCCGCAUGGGCAUCCGGGUAAAGCCUUGGCGGUGCGGGAUGGGCAUGCGUGCCAUUAGCUGGCUGGUGGGGUAACGGCCCACCAGGGCAACGAUGGCUAGGGGGUCUGAGAGGAUGGUCCCCCACACUGGUACUGAGACACGGACCAGACUCCUACGGGAGGCAGCAGUGAGGAAUAUUGGUCAAUGGGCGGAAGCCUGAACCAGCCAUGCCGCGUGCGGGAUGAAGGCCCUACGGGUUGUAAACCGCUUUUCCCCGGGAAGAAUAACCCCGAUGAGUCGGGGAUGCCGGUACCGGGGAAUAAGGAUCGGCUAACUCCGUG